GAUGAACGCUGGCGGCGUGCUUAACACAUGCAAGUCGAGCGGAAAGGCUCCUGCUUGCAGGGGUACUCGAGUGGCGAACGGGUGAGUAACACGUGGGUGAUCCGCCCUGCACUUCGGGAUAAGCCUGGGAAACUGGGUCUAAUACCGGAUAGGACCACAUUUUGGAUGGUGUGGUGGAAAGUUUUUCGGUGUGGGAUGAGCUCGCGGCCUAUCAGCUUGUUGGUGGGGUAAUGGCCUACCAAGGCGUCGACGGGUAGCCGGCCUGAGAGGGUGUACGGCCACAUUGGGACUGAGAUACGGCCCAGACUCCUACGGGAGGCAGCAAUGGGGAAUAUUGCACAAUGGGCGCAAGCCUGAUGCAGCGACGCCGCGUGGGGGAUGACGGCCUUCGGGUUGUAAACUCCUUUCGCUAGGGACGAAGCGCAAGUGACGGUACCUGGAGAAGAAGCACCGGCUAACUACGUG
Molecule: ribosomal RNA, 465 nt
Filed under: uncultured bacterium
Lineage: Bacteria
Description: partial 16S ribosomal RNA
Rfam family: Bacterial small subunit ribosomal RNA
Source: RNAcentral